Molecule: ribosomal RNA, 1389 nt
Filed under: Triticum aestivum (bread wheat)
Lineage: Eukaryota; Viridiplantae; Streptophyta; Magnoliopsida; Poales; Poaceae
Description: partial small subunit ribosomal RNA
Source: RNAcentral
AUGGCGGCCAACGGCGGGUCGCUGGAGCGGCGGGGCUCCAUGCGGCGGUCGGGGAGCAAGGCGAAGGAGGAGCCGGCGGCCGACCAUGGCGCCGAGGAGCACGCCUCGGGACCUUCCGACAUUGAAGUGAUCAAGGAGAAGUUCGGCAAGCUGCUGCUCGGGGAGGACAUGUCGGGGUCCGGCAAAGGCGUGCCGUCCGCGCUAGCCCUGUCCAACGCCGUCACUAAUCUUGCAGCUGCUGUGUUCGGCGAGCAACGCAAGUUGGAGCCCAUGGCCCCCGACAGAAAGGCGAGGUGGAAGAAAGAAGUGGGCUGGCUCCUGUCCGUGGCAGAUCAGAUCGUGGAGUUCGUCGCCAAGAAACAAGUCCUGGACAACGGCGUCGAAAUGGAGGUGAUGGGCACGCAGCAGCGAAGGGAUCUGCAGUCCAACAUACCGGCGUUGCGCAAGAUCGACGCCAUGCUUCUCGAUUACCUGGACGCCUUCAAGGACCGCACCGACUUUUGGUACGUAAAGCGCGACUCGUGCUCGGACGCCGAGAAAGAGGAGUCUACAGAGAAGUGGUGGAUACCCAUCGUGAAGGUCCCUCCCAACGGGCUGGCCCCGGCGUCCAGAGCCUGGAUCCAGCACCAGAAGGAGCUGGUGAACCAGGUGCUCAAGGCGGCCAUGGCCAUCAACGCCAACUGCCUCAUGGAGAUGGCCAUCCCAGAGUCCUACCUAGAGUCGCUGCCCAAGAACGGGCGGGCGAGCCUCGGGGACGCGCUGUACCGGAUCAUCACGGACGUGGAGUUCGACCCGGACGACUUCCUGUCGACGGUGGACCUGACGUCGGAGCACAAGAUCCUGGACCUCAAGGACCGCAUCGAGGCGUCGGUCAUCAUCUGGAACAGGAAGGUGCACAACAAGGACGGCAAGUCCUCGUGGGGCUCCGCCGUCAGCCAGGAGAAGCGUGAGCAGUUCGAGGAGCGGGCGCAGACGCUGCUGCUCAUCAUCAAGCACAGGUUCCCCGGCAUCCCCCAGUCCACCCUCGACAUCGCAAAGAUACAAGAAAACAGGGACGUGGGAUUUGCUCUCCUGGAGAGCUACUCCAGGGUCCUCGAGAGCCUCGCCUUCAACGUCAUGUCCAGGAUAGAGGACGUGAUCGUCGCCGACAACGUGGCCAGGGAGAAGGCCAAGAAGGACGCGCCGGCCGGCUCGAGCUUGGAGGCGCCCCCCCAGGUCCCCGACGGGGCAGACAGCAUGACGCUGCUCGACUUCAUGGGCUGGAACGGCGACUCGGAGGGGAGGCCCGACGACCAGUCCCCGUCGGCGGUGGACCCGGCGCAGGACGACGGGAGGCUCAUGAAGCUGCCCAACAUCAUGACCAACCUUUUUAUGAAAACGACACAGUGA